GACCUAACCCUUUGAGAAACCCUCAGAGAUAUGGUCAAAAUCCCACCACAGGUGUAAAAACCUCCUAGUCAAGGAGUACCUGUGGUGGGUCCUAUCGGGAAACUGGUAGUGGGUAGCAAAGCUACC
Molecule: small RNA, 126 nt
Filed under: unclassified sequences
Description: LOOT RNA
Rfam family: LOOT RNA
About the family: Latescibacteria, OD1/Parcubacteria, OP11, TM7.
Source: Rfam by way of RNAcentral